RNAcentral lists this ribosomal RNA (468 nucleotides) under uncultured bacterium. Its description in RNAcentral is "partial 16S ribosomal RNA". It matches the Rfam family "Bacterial small subunit ribosomal RNA", at positions 28 to 507 of the family's 1533-position model. The record is from RNAcentral.
GACGAACGCUGGCGGCGUGCUUAACACAUGCAAGUCGAACGGAAAGGCCCUGCUUUUGUGGGGUGCUCGAGUGGCGAACGGGUGAGUAACACGUGAGUAACCUGCCCUUGACUUUGGGAUAACUUCAGGAAACUGGGGCUAAUACCGGAUAGGAGCUCCUGCUGCAUGGUGGGGGUUGGAAAGUUUCGGCGGUUGGGGAUGGACUCGCGGCUUAUCAGCUUGUUGGUGGGGUAGUGGCUUACCAAGGCUUUGACGGGUAGCCGGCCUGAGAGGGUGACCGGCCACAUUGGGACUGAGAUACGGCCCAGACUCAUACGGGAGGCAGCAGUGGGGAAUAUUGCACAAUGGGCGGAAGCCUGAUGCAGCAGCGCCGCGUGCGGGAUGACGGCCUUCGGGUUGUAAACCGCUUUCGCCUGUGACGAAGCGUGAGUGACGGUAAUGGGUAAAGAAGCACCGGCUAACUACGUG